GUUAUUCUCCAUAUGGCUGAGUUGACUGUUCAGCUACUGUAGGUUAUUCUCCAUAUGGCUGAGUUGACUGUUCAGCUACUGUAGGUUAUUCUCCAUAUGGCUGAGUUGACUGUUCAGCUACAUGCUACUGUAGGUUAUUCUCCAUACGGCUGAGUUGACUGUUCAGCUACUGUAGGUUAUUCUCCAUAUGGCUGAGUUGACUGUUCAGCUACUGUAGGUUAUUCUCCAUACGGCUGAGUUGACUGUUCAGCUACAUGCAACUGUAGUUUACUCUCCACAAUGGCUGAGCUGACUGUUCAGCUACUGUAGUUUACUCUCCUAUAUGGCUGAGUUGACUGUUCAGCUACAUGCUACUGUAGGUUACUCUCCCAUAUGGCUGAGUUGACUGUUCAGCUACAUGCUACUGUAGGUUAUUCUCCAUAUGGCUGAGCUGACUGUUCAGCUACUGUAGUUUACUCUCCCAUAUGGCUGAGUUGACUGUUCACCUACAUGCUACUGUAGGUUAUUCUCCCAUAUGGCUGAGUUGACUGUUCAGCUACUGUAGGUUAUUCUCCAUACGGCUGGGUUGACUGUUCAGCUACUGUAGGUUAUUCUCCAUACGGCUGAGUUGACUGUUCAGCUACAUGCUACUGUCGGUUAUUCUCCCAUAUGGCUGAGUUGACUGUUCAGCUACAUGCUACUGUAGGUUAUUCUCCCAUACGGCUGAGUUGACUGUUCAGCUACUGUAGGUUAUUCUCCAUAUGUCUGAGUUGACUGUUCAGCUACAUGCUACUGUAGGUUAUUCUCCAUAUGGCUGAGCUGACUGUUCAGCUACUGUAGGUAUUUCUCCAUAUGGCUGAGUUGACUGUUCAGAUACUGUAGGUUAUUCUCCAUAUGGCUGAGUUGACUGUUCAACUACUGUAGGUUAUUCUCCAUAUGGCUGGGUUGACUGUUCAGCUACUGUAGGUUAUUCUCCAUAUGGCUGAGUUGACUGUUCAGCUACAUGCUACUGUAGGUUAUACUCCAUAUGGCUGAGUUGACUGUUCAGCUACAUGCUACUGUAGGUUAUUCUCCCAUAUGGCUGAGUUGACUGUUCAGCUACAUGCUACUGUAGGUUAUUCUCCCAUAUGGCUGAGUUGACUGUUCAGCUACAUGCUACUGUAGGUUAUUGUCCCAUAUGUCUGAGAUGACUGUUCAGCUACAUGCUACUGUAGGUUAUUCUCCAUAUGGCUGAGCUGACUGUUCAGCUACUGUAGGUAUUUCUCCAUAUGGCUGAGUUGACUGUUCAGAUACUGUAGGUUAUUCUCCAUAUGGCUGAGUUGACUGUUCAACUACUGUAGGUUAUUCUCCAUAUGGCUGGGUUGACUGUUCAGCUACUGUAGGUUAUUCUCCAUAUGGCUGAGUUGACUGUUCAGCUACAUGCUACUGUAGGUUAUACACCAUAUGGCUGAGUUGACUGUUCAGCUACAUGCUACUGUAGGUUAUUCUCCAUAUGGCUGAGUUGACUGUUCGGCUACAUGCUACUGUAGGUUA
This 1512-nucleotide long non-coding RNA is filed under the name Salmo salar (Atlantic salmon). RNAcentral describes it as "lncRNA (ENSSSAG00000109478.1)". Lineage: Eukaryota; Metazoa; Chordata; Actinopteri; Salmoniformes; Salmonidae. The record is from RNAcentral.